Molecule: long non-coding RNA, 4098 nt
Filed under: Daphnia magna
Lineage: Eukaryota; Metazoa; Arthropoda; Branchiopoda; Diplostraca; Daphniidae
Description: uncharacterized LOC116921070, transcript variant X3
Source: RNAcentral
GGGGGGCUCGCCUCGCUAACAACAAGGACGAGGCAAAUGCCUACGUCCAAUCAGUUGGCCUAUUUCCAAGAAUUUCACAUAUAGUUUUUAGAAAAAAUUUCACAAAAUUUCGCAACUCUUUGAGAUGACUACGCAAAUUCAUGGAACCCUGGUGUCGUCUGCUCCGUUCGUUUCCCUUAUCAUGUUGUGAUUGGCUGUUGAAAUUUCAAACACGUUUCCUGAUUGGUGCAUUCAUUAAACACCCGCUGGAGGCUCUGACUGCUAUUUCUGAAAUUAGACACAACGACAGACGAUUUUCCACAUAUCGUGAAGCAACCAGGUUUCCAUGACUGCUGUAAUACCUCCACGUCUACGGUUCACGCCCUCAAACCUUCAAUGGAAAUUCUAAAAUCCUUUAGUCGCUUUAGUCAAGUCGCCAUGCUUGGGACAAGUACAGACGAAGCCAUCGAGUUGUCAGGUUAUAUACAUAACGAGUUUGAAUGAAACAAUAAAAACACAGAAACAAAAUUAAAUAAAAAGUGUUUUACCUUAUCCUUAUCCGGACGUGCAGUCAAGUUUCUCCCAGUAUUCGCAAGAUGAAACUGGAUUAGUGGCCAAGAUUUAAAAAUUACUGGCUAUGAUUUGAAAUCGAAGAUGAGAAACUGAGAAUGGCAUGCAAUAAAAACAGUUCUACGAAAUUAAAUACAAAAACUAUAAUUGCAAUUUUUAGAUGAACAUUUUAUCAGUGAACAGCUAUUUUCUGAUAAAAUGUUCAAAAAAUGACCGUAAUUUGAACGACAUUAUAUACUUCAAACACUAAUUUACUCAAAAAAAUUACUGCGACGAAACACACAUACAACUUGCAACUGUGUGGUUUUUUUAGCAUGUUGGAUGAUUUUAGAUGGGUUUUAUACUAGCUCAUUAUCUCAAAUACGAUAAGACGCUUCACAGCGUAUGAACCACGUAGAUUUAUGGUAACCGACGAAUGUUAGGUUGUGUAAGGUGAAUUGUCACAUGUUUUCACAUACUUGUUGACGUGAGACGCAGCAUUUUGUACUUGAUAUUCUAAGAAUGAUAUUUAAGAAUAUUUUCCACAUAUUUUGUCUUUGAUUUAACUAAACUGUCGUCAAACUUCCUCCAUUCAAUAUUCUAUGGCAAUAAUUUGGUACCAUUUUUCGGUCCCCCAUAAAUGUUCGUUAAAAUCACCCAAUUCUGUAUCCCAGCUAUUUCUAUUUUCCAUUUUCUUAUGCUGUUUCUAAAAGAUAAAGCUAUCUUGCCAACGCUAUCUGCACUGCUAUCGCUUACGAAAUAAUUAAGGCUCGGCCCCGUGUCCAAUCGGUAGGUAUUUGGGCGAAUGGGUAGGUCUUCUCGGCAAAAAAAUUGGAUCCGGUGGGUAUCGGUUCUUGAGACUUUGUGCCUACUACCUACCCGGUUUUCAUGUGGGUAACACAAUAUCGAAAACCGUUUCCAUUACCCGGUUAGCCCCGAUUUCCUACCCGAUUACCCUGGUUUCCCCCUGAAAUCAAGUCACGCGCUUUGAAUUUCCGCCACAAAAACUUUUUUUUUGCUAAUCGCCCUUUUAAUUUAACUUGGCGCUUUGCAAGCCGCCAUUUUCCAAGAUUGCGGUGGGUAUACCCGGUUUGCCCAUCAAAUCCGCCCAGCCUACCCAUUUUGGCAAAUAGGCUACCCGGAUCGCCCAUGGGCAACUAUUUUUGGCGACGAUCCGGGGGUAACCCGGGUUUUCGAGAACCGGGGCCGAGCCCUAGAUAUAAUAUACCAUAAAUAUAUCAUAAAAUAUGCAGCAGUGGCACCACCUACUUUCAAACCUAACUGGAACCCUAGCCAAAAAGAAGUAGAAGUCGGGUUUAUUUAUUUUGUCGGGCUUAUUUUCCUAAUAGAAUUUCCGCUAGAUGGUGAUACAGUACUUUUCAAAACAAUUGGCAAAAUUGAGGUAGUCUAAUAGUUCGCCUGCUUCGGAAAUAGUUAAUCUGCUGCAGGAGUAGGUUUGAUGUAAGCACGUAAGUUUUUAAUUUUUAAAAGAAAAUUUGGUUUUUAUAAUUUAAAAUCGCAGUAAAGAAGCAAAAUUACGGAACGCCGUUUGAUAAAUUUUUUUUAUAGACAUAUCUUAUCGCUAGCUGAUCGUUUAUGUAGCAAAUAAAUAGCUAACUAGCAUUGCCAUUUAACGGUAAAAAAUGACACUAAUAGUAGGAAUUUGAAUAGACCACGCCUUCAACGAAGGAGGAGUCCACUACAUAUUGAACUUAUCGAUCGAUUGUUAGGCCCAUUCGAUCGCUACUGUAAAAUCAAUGGCGGCAUCAGGAAAUGGAAGGAUGCAUGUGCGAAUUGAUGUGGCGUUGCAUGUGGGAGGCCCCGUCUGUAACGUUCGCAGACUGGUCAUUUGAUGAUACGUGUGCACAGCGGUAGUGCUUGGUUGCCUCAAGAGGGAAUAGCAGAGCAUAGCCACCCAUAGAGCUAAAAGUCAUAGAAGAUUUUAAAAAUUGUUAUUUGAUUUUGUGUUGUUUCAGCAGUAGUAUGUCCUUCAACAAUCUGUUAUGUCCAUCCAUGGAAUGAGUGGCAUGUGACCAAGUCAACCAAACGGGGCAACAACAAUUAGUCAGCAAUGGAAUUAGUCUGUGGAAAACAACACAUUCAUUCCUGAGUAUGGUUUUGAGUUUAUCUAUGCUUAUUAUUCACAAUCGUAAUGGAUUUGAAGAGGAUAUUGAUGGAGUUUUGGUAUAAAAAAGUUUAAGUUCAUGUUCGUUGGAAGGGCAACCGAAGAGUUCCGGAUCCUUUUACUAUCGCACAUGUUAUGGUAUUUUUACAAAAUCAUGAAGUUCUUGUCUGGACCCCCUUGUUUUCUGUGGCCGUGUUUCCCCUUGACUUAUAUUAUUUUCUUUAACCCUAUAGUGUGUGUAAAACUAAAGGCUAAAAGAAGAAGAAUGAUUCAAAAAUUGUGGGAGAGAAUCAUCCAAGAAUUAUACUCGUUUAGGUAAUCCAAGGAAAUAAGAGAGUAUUAACUCGGCGCAGUCUUCGAUUUCAUCUUUUCAAAAACUGUUUUUACUGUGCACGGGAAUUUUUUGGUCGAGACGUUAUGGAGGUCUUUAAGGCACUGAAGGUUGCAUUAGAUCCCCAACAAAAAGGGAACGCUGAAAAUCCCAGGUGGCGAUGGUAAUUAGUGGCAAUGUUAUGGUGUAGGUAACUUCAGAAAGUGUGACGCUAGCUGAUGUAAACCGCACCAGCCGUGCUAUUACCGAGUCUGUCUCAUGUUGCCGCCUAGCAGGAAAAGGUUGUGAAAGUAGCAGAAGAGGUAACUGCAGUAAACCUGGUUUUGAAAGAAGCCAAACAUUCCAAUGAUAAGGGAGCUCAGCCUGUGGAAACAAAAACCCCAUGUUUCAGAUAUAAACUAUCUUGACAAACCCAAAGUUUCACACAUAGAUCUGCUUAAACAUUCUUUGUUUCUUAAAUUUUUAUCGACAUCAGGAAAGACGAAAGGAACACAUCGUUCCUCAGCUACUUCUGAGGACCACUGUCACCGAAGGAAAAUCACCUCGCUUAUAGACGCGGAAGGUGAAUUAAGCGAGACCCACAAAUUUGCAACAACGAAGCUAGCAAGACCAUUCGCUUAAAACGAUAUUAUGUCCUCCACUGUUAGUUACAGACGACAAUUUAUGUCUUGAAAAUAUACAGGAAAUGUCAGCUGAUCCAUUUCGCGUGGCUUCGGACUGAGGAUGGCUGCUGAAACGAACGUCUCUCUUUUUGAAAUUUUAACACCGAUUCCGUGUGUUUUCAGUUGCAUCUUGUGAAUUCCACCAAUGCAGAGUUGUUCAAGGAGGAACAUGGAUUGGCUUUGCUAUCACGUUUUUCAAUCUCCGUUAGUCUGAUAUACCCAUUUUGUUUCAAAGGUCUUUGGGAUGUACCUGAUGUACUGUGGUGGCUGCAAAAUCAUUCAGUGACUUGGUUCAAUCCAGGUCUUGGUUUUUUCAAUAGUGGUUUACAGUUAUAAUUUGCAGAGAUCCUGGAGGCACCUGAUGUGUUUCAUUGGCGUUGGAGUCACUCGGUGAUAGAAGAAAAUGCCACUAAUGUUAUGUUGUUAGUGUAAAUAAAACAUAUCCAGUAUCA